CCUGGGUGUGGUGGCGCAUGCCUGUAAUCCCAGCACCUUGGGAGGCUGAGGUGGGUGGAUCACCUGAGGUCAGGAGUUUGAGAAAAGCCUGGCCAACAUGGUGAAACCCCAUCUCUA
This is an unclassified non-coding RNA of Macaca mulatta (Rhesus monkey), 117 nucleotides long. It matches the Rfam family "Metazoan signal recognition particle RNA". Rfam says of the family: The signal recognition particle (SRP) is a universally conserved ribonucleoprotein. NCBI's taxonomy places the organism in Eukaryota, Metazoa, Chordata, Mammalia, Primates, Cercopithecidae. The record is from Ensembl.